This is a long non-coding RNA of Antechinus flavipes (yellow-footed antechinus), 372 nucleotides long. RefSeq lists it as uncharacterized. NCBI's taxonomy places the organism in Eukaryota, Metazoa, Chordata, Mammalia, Dasyuromorphia, Dasyuridae. The transcript has 3 exons. The record is from RefSeq and is a predicted model, not a curated record.
UGGCCACACACCUCACACACGAUGCAUUCCACACAUCUCCAGCCCUUCAGUAGCAUCACUUUAGUAAUCUAGAGGAUUGGAAACGGCCUUCUCAGCAAGAAGUCCCUGCCCUGUUAAACCUUGAGGAUUAAUGAUCUUCAAACUCAACAAUACCCCUAAAAUGAGACAAGUUAGGGGAUCCCACCGUCUCCAUUUGGCUUAACUGGUGAGAAUAUUCAGAACUGCUAUCAAACAGCAAGGGAUCUCAUAUAGAAGACUUGGAAAACUAGAAUGUGCUCUUAAAUGUAAUUUUUAAAAAUCACAAUUCAGGCUCAAACUAACACUUGAGGCUGUGACUCAAGUGGCCCAUCUUCUGUUUCCACCUAGCCUAGA